AGUGAACGCUAGCGGUAGGCCUAACACAUGCCAGUCGAACGGCAGCACAGUAAGAGCUUGCUCUUACGGGUGGCGAGUGGCGGACGGGUGAGGAAUACAUCGGAAUCUACUUUUUCGUGGGGGAUAACGUAGGGAAACUUACGCUAAUACCGCAUACGACCUACGGGUGAAAGCAGGGGAUCUUCGGACCUUGCGCGAUUGAAUGAGCCGAUGUCGGAUUAGCUAGUUGGCGGGGUAAAGGCCCACCAAGGCGACGAUCCGUAGCUGGUCUGAGAGGAUGAUCAGCCACACUGGAACUGAGACACGGUCCAGACUCCUACGGGAGGCAGCAGUGGGGAAUAUUGGACAAUGGGCGCAAGCCUGAUCCAGCCAUACCGCGUGGGUGAAGAAGGCCUUCGGGUUGUAAAGCCCUUUUGUUGGGAAAGAAAAGCAGCAGGUUAAUACCCCGCUGUUCUGACGGUACCCAAAGAAUAAGCACCGGCUAACUUCGUG
RNAcentral lists this ribosomal RNA (492 nucleotides) under uncultured bacterium. Its description in RNAcentral is "partial 16S ribosomal RNA". It matches the Rfam family "Bacterial small subunit ribosomal RNA", at positions 29 to 507 of the family's 1533-position model. The record is from RNAcentral.